RNAcentral lists this small RNA (1253 nucleotides) under Pongo abelii (Sumatran orangutan). RNAcentral describes it as "retained intron". The record is from RNAcentral. Lineage: Eukaryota; Metazoa; Chordata; Mammalia; Primates; Hominidae.
GGCUGCCGCCGCCCCGGGGAAGAAGAGACAGGGGUGGGGUUUGGGGGAAGCGAGAGAGGAGGGGAGAGACCCUGGCCAGGCUGGAGCCUGGAUUCGAGGGGAGGAGGGACGGGAGGAGGAGAAAGGUGGAGGAGAAGGGAGGGGGGGAGCGGGGAGGAGCGGCCGGGCCUGGGGCCUUGAGGCCCGGGGAGAGCCGGGGAGCCGGGCCGGCGCGCCGAGAUGCUGCUGCUGCUGCUACUGGCGCCACUCUUCCUCCGCCCCCCGGGCGCGGGCGGGGCGCAGACCCCCAACGCCACCUCAGAAGGUUGCCAGAUCAUACACCCGCCCUGGGAAGGGGGCAUCAGGUACCGGGGCCUGACUCGGGACCAGGUGAAGGCUAUCAACUUCCUGCCGGUGGACUAUGAGAUUGAGUAUGUGUGCCGGGGGGAGCGCGAGGUGGUGGGGCCCAAGGUCCGCAAGUGCCUGGCCAACGGCUCCUGGACAGAUAUGGACACACCCAGCCGCUGUGUCCGAAUCUGCUCCAAGUCUUAUUUGACCCUGGAAAAUGGGAAGGUUUUCCUGACGGGUGGGGACCUCCCAGCUCUGGACGGAGCCCGGGUGGAUUUCCGGUGUGACCCCGACUUCCAUCUGGUGGGCAGCUCCCGGAGCAUCUGUAGUCAGGGCCAGUGGAGCACCCCCAAGCCCCACUGCCAGGGUGAGGGGAACAGCUGCCUGCAUGCAGCUGAUGAGGACGCUUGUGUGAGGAUGGGAGUAGGGUGGGAUUGGAUAAUGGGAAAGAAUGGGGAGCUAUAAAAAUGUGGGGGAGGACAUUGGAAAGGGGGAGAUGAAAGUCCCUUUUUCCUCCAUCACCUGCCUCAAACUUCCUCUUGCAGUCCCCGGUAUCCUUUGUAGGUUGGGGGCUUCCUUCCUUUACCUUUUAAAAAAAUCUUCCUGCUCCCAAUUCUUAGGCCUCACGUUUUCUCUUUUCCUUUAUGAAUCUCACCUCUCUCACCUUCUUCAGGUUUAAAUACUCCAAUUUUCCCUUUCUCUAAACUUAGAAAUUUCCAUGCAUCACCCUCUUCUAGAAUUCAUCCCUCACCAUUCCUUAUAUACUUGAUUUAUUGUAAAGACUCAGAAAUAAAUCAAACAUUCUACUAAGAAAAAUUGAGAAGGGGAGCUCUGGGGGUGGAAACAUUAGGGUAAAAAGACUUAAAAUUGGAGGCAGCAUUAUCAGAAGAUGAAGAACAACUCAGGGAUGGGGUGGGAAGAAGACA